AUGGCCACGGAGGAGACAUCGGCGCUGGCGGUCGACGGCGCCCAUGAGCAUCCCACGCUCCACAUGCACAACGUGGCCGAGGUGAUCCCGACCCUGCCGCUGGAGACGCGGUGGCCGCCGUUCGCGCACCGCCGGUACCGUGGCUUCUGGGUGGCCGAGCGGUUCCUGCUGGCACUGGCGGCCUUCAACGACCAAUUCGAGCCGGCGCCCGGUGACGUGCUCCUGGUCACCUGCCCCAAGUCCGGCACCACGUGGUUGAAGUCCCUCGCCUUCACCACCGUGCACCGCGCCGCGCACCCACCGUCGUCUGCCGACCACCCCCUCCUCGGCCGCAACUCGCACGGCUGCGUUAGGUUCCUCGAAGGUAUCUUCUUCGGCCGCUCCGUGGACGAGGCGCGCGACGUCCUCGCCGCCGCGUGUCCGUCCCCGCCCCGUUUGCUCGCCACCCACUGCCACUGGGCCUACUCCCAGCUGCCGGAGUGCGUCACCGGCAGCUGCCGGAUCGUGUAUAUCUGCCGGGAGCCCAAGGACGUGCUAGUGUCGUGGUACUGGUUCCUCAAGAAGGUAGUCGCCUACGGCGCCACCAGCGACCACGAGCCCGACCCCGACCUCGACUUCGCCGAGCUCUACGAGGUGUUCUGCGAGGGAGCGCCCGGACAAGGUGCUCUUCCUCAGGUACGAGGAGAUGCUGCGCGACCCGCCGGGCAACGUCCGGAGGCUAGCGCGGUUUCUGGGGUGCCCGUUCACGGCGGAGGAGGAGGACGCCGGCGUGGUGGGCGCCAUCUUGGAGCUGUGUAG
This 798-nucleotide ribosomal RNA is filed under the name Triticum aestivum (bread wheat). RNAcentral's name for it is "partial small subunit ribosomal RNA". The record is from RNAcentral. Lineage: Eukaryota; Viridiplantae; Streptophyta; Magnoliopsida; Poales; Poaceae.